Hibiscus syriacus is the source of this 257-nucleotide long non-coding RNA. RefSeq lists it as uncharacterized. The transcript is spliced from 3 exons. The record is from RefSeq and is a predicted model, not a curated record. NCBI's taxonomy places the organism in Eukaryota, Viridiplantae, Streptophyta, Magnoliopsida, Malvales, Malvaceae.
AAUCGAGAUAAUUUCAUAAAGGUUAUAGGCCAUGAUGUAGCAUUCUUUUAAUGAUUGAAAUUGUUAACUGAUUGUAAAGACCAUCCAGAUAGAAUGGUGUAUGAAUGUAUGUAAAUCUUAACCCGAAAACUGGCUUGACGAAAUUGCCCAUGGCGAAGUUGGGUUUUGAAUGUAUUUCCCUUAGGUGACACGGAUUUGGAAAUACUGUUUUCAGAAUGUUAUUUUAUUUUUUUUGGUAUAAUCACCGGUAUUUAAAC